AGGGUCUAUACACCUUCACCAGGAAAGCAGUGAUGACAGCUGUGCUCCCUGUCUCCUGCAGGAUGUGGAUGGCGAGGUGUCCACUUCCCUCUGCUGCUUGAUCUCAGAUACACUCAACCACAGAUCCUAUUAACUGGCAACCUGAAGGUUUAUGCACCUUGAGGACUGCUGAACACCUUGACACAGCUAGCUCGUGCAUCUAAGAGAUUGACUGAGGCAGCAGCUUUGAAAUACUUCUUCAACUACUGCAAAGACUGCAAGAUAUCCAUUAAAGCACAAUUUACUUCAUCAGCAAGCCUUCUGCAAGCUGUUCCCAAAAAGGGUGAAAUGAGCUGUGGCCUGGAAAGGUUACCUGGACACGUGGGAAAUUUCACAAUCUUUUCAACGUUGGCUUUUUUCCAUGUAAAAAGAAGCUAUCAUCUUCUGGGAAGAAAAAAGGCUGAGAAAUUCCGUGAUCUGCCAUCUGCAAGCUGGAUAAUAAGAUAAGCUGGUGGUGUAAUUUAGUCUACACUGGAAUGCCUGAGAAUCAGGAGUUAACAGUUUAAGUCUUCUUCAGAGUCCACAGGCUGGAGAACCAGAAGCUUUGGUACCCCAAGACAGGAGCAGGUGGGUGUCCUAGCUCAAGAAAAGACAGCAAAUUCACCCU
Molecule: long non-coding RNA, 646 nt
Filed under: Callithrix jacchus (white-tufted-ear marmoset)
Lineage: Eukaryota; Metazoa; Chordata; Mammalia; Primates; Cebidae
Description: lncRNA (ENSCJAG00000079331.1)
Source: RNAcentral